RNAcentral lists this non-coding RNA (29 nucleotides) under Mus musculus (house mouse). Lineage: Eukaryota; Metazoa; Chordata; Mammalia; Rodentia; Muridae. The record is from RNAcentral.
UGCUUAGAUGUCAAUGUGCCUUAUUCAUG